GAUGAACGCUGGCGGUAUGCCUAACACAUGCAAGUCGUACGAGAGUUUUUAACUCUAGUGGCGGACGGGUGAGUAACACGUGAGAAUUUGCCUUUAGGAGGGGAUAACAAUUGGAAACGAAUGCUAAUACCCCAUAUGCUUUUGAGUGAAAUGGAUUUUAUCCGCCUAGAGAGAAGCUCGCGGCUGAUUAGCUUGUUGGUAAGGUAAGAGCUUACCAAGGCGACGAUCAGUAUCUGGUUUGAGAGGACGAUCAGACACACUGGAACUGAGACACGGUCCAGACUCCUACGGGAGGCAGCAGUGGGGAAUUUUCCGCAAUGGGCGAAAGCCUGACGGAGCAAUACCGCGUGAGGGAAGAAUGCCUAUGGGUUGUAAACCUCUUUUUCUAGGGAGGAAUAAAAUGACGUGUACCUGAAGAAUAAGCAUCGGCUAACUCCGUG
RNAcentral lists this ribosomal RNA (440 nucleotides) under uncultured bacterium. RNAcentral describes it as "bacterial SSU rRNA". It matches the Rfam family "Bacterial small subunit ribosomal RNA", at positions 28 to 507 of the family's 1533-position model. The record is from RNAcentral.